AGAGCGAACGCUGGCGGCAGGCUUAACACAUGCAAGUCGAGCGGGCGUAGCAAUACGUCAGCGGCAGACGGGUGAGUAACGCGUGGGAACAUACCUUUUGGUUCGGAACAACACAGGGAAACUUGUGCUAAUACCGGAUAAGCCCUUACGGGGAAAGAUUUAUCGCCGAAAGAUUGGCCCGCGUCUGAUUAGCUAGUUGGUGAGGUAACGGCUCACCAAGGCGACGAUCAGUAGCUGGUCUGAGAGGAUGAUCAGCCACAUUGGGACUGAGACACGGCCCAAACUCCUACGGGAGGCAGCAGUGGGAAUAUUGGACAAUGGGCGCAAGCCUGAUCCAGCCAUGCCGCGUGAGUGAUGAAGGCCCUAGGGUUGUAAAGCUCUUUGUGCGGAGAUAAUGACGGUACCGCAAGAAUAAGCCCGGCUAACUUCGUGCCAGCAGCCGC
This 443-nucleotide ribosomal RNA is filed under the name uncultured bacterium. Its description in RNAcentral is "SSU rRNA". It matches the Rfam family "Bacterial small subunit ribosomal RNA", at positions 26 to 518 of the family's 1533-position model. The record is from RNAcentral.